AUGCCUGUAUAAACAAAUUCAAACUGUGAAACUACGAAUGGCUCAUUCAAGCAGUUAUAGUUUGUUUGAUGGUAUCUACUACUCGGAUAACCAUAGUAAUUCUUGAGCUAAUACGUAGAACAAAACCACGACAUGUGGAAGGGUAUGCAUUUAGUUACAUAAAAGGUCGACGUGGGCUCUGCCAAUUAUUGUGAUGAUUCGUGAUAACUCGACGGAUCGUAUGGCCAUCGUGCCGGCGAUGCAUUAUUCACAUUUCUACCCUAUCAACCUGAAAUCCAAUCAUUUCUAACUUUUCAAAUAUGAAGUUUAUCGAUUGCUUGCAUCCUUGGAAUGAAAAAAACCACCAAGUGUUGAAAUAUAAGUACGGAG
RNAcentral lists this non-coding RNA (369 nucleotides) under Solanum tuberosum (potato). RNAcentral's name for it is "Eukaryotic small subunit ribosomal RNA". It matches the Rfam family "Eukaryotic small subunit ribosomal RNA", at positions 57 to 348 of the family's 1831-position model. The record is from Rfam by way of RNAcentral. Lineage: Eukaryota; Viridiplantae; Streptophyta; Magnoliopsida; Solanales; Solanaceae.